UCGUUUCUCUUUAUGUACCAACGACAUAAUGUCCCGAGUUUUUGGGAUGCGUGAUUAGAAAGCAUUCCGAUGGCGGGCCGCCAGGUUCGCCAGUCACGGGACAGGUACACAUGACUUUGGAUCAUAUUCGCCGCGCUUGGAUUAUCUCCAGUAUCAACGACACGCCGCGCGUGCAACGAGACAUUGUACAACAUCCAAAAACAAUUUUAGCAUCCUCUUACUGUUAGCUACUUGAAAGAUGUCGGGAAACUUCUUUGAAAUAUUUGGAAACUCUACCGGAAUUGUUUCAGGACGUUGUUGGUAACGUUGUGAAGAGGAGCGGCAGACGAACGGCCCGUAGCGCGGAGGUACCUCGAGAGCGAACUCCAGAAGCUAAUACAACUAUUUGCGGAGUCCUUUGUCAACCGUACCCUUUAAAAGCUGGCUUCCUUGUUUAACUGGAACAAACGCUACUAAUUGAACGCUAAUGAAUCUGUAACUGCACAUUUCUCCGCCACUGUCAACAUCGUUCUACUGGUCUGGAACCUCUGGCCGAAGACAAUCAGAUUGUUUAUUUGAACCGACGCGACAAAAGAAACGGUAACAAACGAAAACUGAACAACAUAUGUAGUUGCAAUACUAACCGUGCUAUCCUUUAGGGCUCUGAGAUAGGGGAGGCGGCGAUUCUCCGCCAUUUUGCAGUUCCCGUUCCGUUUACUAUCGUCGCAUUUCCAGUUCGAAUCGUGCAAAAUAAUGCAAAAACAUUAAAGUUAAAGUUAAUCGGUUCUCGUUACAAUGUGUCGUGACAAAUUUUUAUUGUCCAGCGUAUCUCUCCGGCU
Megalopta genalis is the source of this 818-nucleotide non-coding RNA. Lineage: Eukaryota; Metazoa; Arthropoda; Insecta; Hymenoptera; Halictidae. The record is from RefSeq and is a predicted model, not a curated record.